ACACGAGCAACACGAGCGGGGCAGGCCUGCAAAAGUGGUUUUGCCCAUGAAAGGAGAACUUAGCUUAACACUAGAAGUCCCAGCAUUUUUCUGUCUACCUAGAAGACCCACAUAGGGGCCAUUUGGCCCGACCGCUUUUCCCGAACACACUAAUCACUCAUUUUGUUAUGGUAAUGAGGCUGUUAGUGGCAGUGUGUGGGGUGAGGGUUCACACCUUACUUCUGUGUGAAUGUGAGAAUGAGGAAUAAAAACACAUUCUAUUCUAAAAUGUGAACAUGUAAAUGUCCGAUGUGACCAUAACGACUCAUGUGACUCCAACCAGACAAUUGUUUGAUGGAUAAAUACCUCAGUGCACAUGGACUAUUGCUUCAGUUCCCUCAAGAAUUUUGUGGUGAAAGAAGCUCCUCUCCAAGGAACGAAGAUGCAGAGAAUCAACACUCAACAGGCAUUGGAAAUGAUCCUGGAUGGAGCAAACCCUUGCGACUCGGAUGGAGAAGACAUCAACCUUCAGGUGGAUUCAGACUCUGAGCUGUCUCAGUCGUCUUCAGAUGAGGAGACUGUUCCCCAACCAAAAAAGAGAGCUCGGCUGGGGACUGAUGUGACAGAGACUGCGAAAGACGGCACAGUAUGGCAUGAAGAACAGGUGGGAACGGGUCCACAUUUCACCCCGCCAUCGCCAUACAACGCAGAUGGAGAGCCAACAGCUGAGGCCAGGAGGUCAAUCACCAGUCGUCUUCAGAGCUUCCUGUGUUUCAUCACUCUGGACAUGCUUGGUAUCAUUCGAGACUGUACAGUUCAACAUGCAAAGGAAACGGAUGUGGAUUGGUUCAUGGGCCUCUCUGAACUAAUGGCAUUUAUUUCCAUCACCAUCAUGCGGGGAAUCUUCAGGGUGCCAUCACUGCGUGACUGCUGGUCGAAAAACCUGGGAAGCCAACAUAUCAUCGAAACCAUGUCCCGAGGGCGUUUCCAAAACAUCAUGCAUCACCUGCGCUUUGAUGACAGAGACACCCGCAGCGAGCGAGCACAGACCGAUAAGUUUGCUGCCAUUUCGAACAUAUGGGGAUUGUUUGUCACCAACUGCAUCACAUCCUACAUCCCUGGUCGACACAUCACCAUCGACGCACAACUUUUCCCGUCCAAGACUCGCUGCUGUUUCCUACAGUACAGUAAACCAGACAAGUUUGGGAUCAAGUUUUGGGUGGCGUGUGACUUGAAAACCAAAUACGUCUGCAAUAUCCUCCCAUGUCUUGGCAAGGACCCCACUCGGCCUCGUGGGGAGAGAGUGUCUGAGAGUGUAGUCAUGAGGCUGAUGGAACCAUUCCUGGACAAGGGCAGAAAUGUGACCACGGACAAUUUCUUUACAUCACUGUCACUUGCAAAACAACUACUUAGCCGGAAU
This 1399-nucleotide long non-coding RNA is filed under the name Takifugu rubripes (torafugu). Its description in RNAcentral is "lncRNA (ENSTRUG00000027455.1)". Lineage: Eukaryota; Metazoa; Chordata; Actinopteri; Tetraodontiformes; Tetraodontidae. The record is from RNAcentral.